Molecule: ribosomal RNA, 640 nt
Filed under: Enterococcus mundtii
Lineage: Bacteria; Bacillati; Bacillota; Bacilli; Lactobacillales; Enterococcaceae
Description: bacterial SSU rRNA
Rfam family: Bacterial small subunit ribosomal RNA
Source: RNAcentral
UCAUUUCAAGCCGCAUGGAUUCAUUUUGAAAGGCGCUGUACGUUGCCGAUGAUGGAUGGACCCGUUGUGUAUUAGCUAAUUGGUCGAGGUCACGGACUCACAAAAGCCACGAUCCAUAUCCGACGGUGGAGACGGGUGGAUACGUGCCAACUUGGGACUGAGACACAGUCCAAACUCCUACGGGAGGCAGCAGUCUGGAAUCUUCGGCAAUGGACGAAAGUCUGACCGACGCAACGACGCGUGAGUGAAUAAGGUUUUCGGAUCCUAGAACUCUGGUUAGUUAACAGAAAGAACAAAGGUGAUAGUAACUGAUCGCCCCUUGACGGUAUCUAACCACAGAGCCACGGCUAGCUACCUGCCAGCAGCCUACGGUAAUACGUAGGUGGCAACCGUUGUCCUGAUUUAUUGGGCGUAAACCGAGCGCAUGCGGUUUCUUAAGUCUGAUGUGAGAGCCCCCCGCUCAACCGGGGAGGGUCCUUGGAAACUGGGNGACUUAAGGGCAAAAGAGAAUACNGGAAUUCCCUGUGUAAUCGGUAAAAUGCGUAAAUAUAUGGAGGAGCCCCAGNGGGCUAACNCGGCUCUCUAGUGCUGUAACUGNNGCCUAAAGGCUCGAGANCNNGGCGGGGCUNACAUGGGUUGG